AGAGUUUGAUCCUGGCUCAGGACGAACGCUGGCGGCGCGCUUAACACAUGCAAGUCGAGCGAUAACCAUGGCUUCGGCCAUGGGGAGAGCGGCGAACGGGUGAGUAACACGUGAGCGAUCUGCCCUCGACACUGGGAUAGCCCGGGGAAACCCGGAUUAAUACCGGAUAGCCUCUCGAGCCCACGGGCUCGUGAGAAAGGAUGGCUUCGGCUUUCGGUUGAGGAGGAGCUUGCGGCGGAUUAGCUUGUUGGUGAGGUAACGGCUCACCAAGGCGACGAUCCGUAGCUGGUCUGAGAGGACGAUCAGCCACACUGGGACUGAGACACGGCCCAGACUCCUACGGGAGGCAGCAGUGGGGAAUCUUGCGCAAUGGGCGAAAGCCUGACGCAGCGACGCCGCGUGAGGGAAGAAGGCCUUCGGGUUGUAAACCUCUUUCAGGAGGGACGAAGCUACUCGGGUUAAUAGCCCAGAGGGUGACGGUACCUCCAGAAGAAGCCCCGGCUAACUACGUGCCAGCAGCCGCGGUAAUACGUAGGGGGCAAGCGUUGUCCGGAAUCAUUGGGCGUAAAGCGCGUGUAGGCGGCCAGAUAAGUCCGCUGUGAAAUCUCGAGGCUCAACUUCGAGCUGUCGGUGGAAACUAUCUGGCUAGAGUCCGGAAGAGGAGAAUGGAAUUCCUGGUGUAGCGGUGAAAUGCGCAGAUAUCAGGAAGAACACCCGUGGCGAAGGCGGUUCUCUGGGACGGUACUGACGCUGAGACGCGAAAGCGUGGGGAGCGAACAGGAUUAGAUACCCUGGUAGUCCACGCCGUAAACGAUGGGAACUAGGUGUGGGGGGUGUCGACUCCCUCCGUGCCGAAGCUAACGCAUUAAGUUCCCCGCCUGGGGAGUACGGCCGCAAGGCUAAAACUCAAAGGAAUUGACGG
Molecule: ribosomal RNA, 922 nt
Filed under: uncultured Rubrobacteria bacterium
Lineage: Bacteria; Bacillati; Actinomycetota; Rubrobacteria
Description: bacterial SSU rRNA
Rfam family: Bacterial small subunit ribosomal RNA
Source: RNAcentral